Oryzias melastigma (Indian medaka) is the source of this 328-nucleotide long non-coding RNA. RefSeq lists it as uncharacterized. NCBI's taxonomy places the organism in Eukaryota, Metazoa, Chordata, Actinopteri, Beloniformes, Adrianichthyidae. The transcript is spliced from 3 exons. The record is from RefSeq and is a predicted model, not a curated record.
GGAGGAACUCGGAGUCUCCCUCCAGUUUCAGGCCUUUCUCCGUUAUUCUCAGGUUGCCCAUGCCGUCCUGCAGAGACCAAACACACCAGACAGAAGAAACGAAGUCCAACAGCAGAAAUGAGAGCGUUUGAGGGCGGAGCUUCAGCCCAGGACAGGUGAUGGACUUCUAUGAAGAUGUUGUGCAUCAUGACAGAACGUCUUCAGUGUGAACGUAUGAGCCUCUGGAGAACUCCAGACACACCUGUACUAAAGGUGCAGCCACUCCUCUACGACCCCACAGACCCCGACGACCUAAAGUGGAGGCUAACAACAGCCGCUAGCUUCAGCU